RNAcentral lists this ribosomal RNA (506 nucleotides) under uncultured bacterium. Its description in RNAcentral is "partial 16S ribosomal RNA". It matches the Rfam family "Bacterial small subunit ribosomal RNA", at positions 28 to 506 of the family's 1533-position model. The record is from RNAcentral.
GACGAACGCUGGCGGCGUGCCUAAUACAUGCAAGUCGAACGCAUUUUCUUUCACCGUAGCUUGCUACACCGAAAGAAAAUGAGUGGCGAACGGGUGAGUAACACGUGGGUAACCUGCCCAUCAGCGGGGGAUAACACUUGGAAACAGGUGCUAAUACCGCAUAAUUCCAUUUACUGCAUGGUAGUUGGAUGAAAGGCGCUUUUGCGUCACUUAUGGAUGGACCCGCGGUGCAUUAGCUAGUUGGUGGGGUAACGGCCUACCAAGGCUGCGAUGCAUAGCCGACCUGAGAGGGUGAUCGGCCACACUGGGACUGAGACACGGCCCAGACUCCUACGGGAGGCAGCAGUAGGGAAUCUUCGGCAAUGGACGCAAGUCUGACCGAGCAACGCCGCGUGAGUGAAGAAGGUUUUCGGAUCGUAAAACUCUGUUGUUAGAAAAGAACAAGGAUGAGAGUGGAAAGUUCAUCCCUUGACGGUAUCUAACCAGAAAGCCACGGCUAACUACGU